ACUCUAAUCAUUUUUAUGAACAAAAUUUCUAAAAGAAAUUGCCUCUUCUUUUCACAGGAAAAUUAGGUACAGGCAUAACUACCCGGGCACACGCACAGGAAACUCUGAAAAAAACAAAACCAACAGAAGAACCACACAAAAAAUUUGCCAUUUAUGCUCAGAAAACCUUCCGACGCAUGAAAGCUUGGAAUCCCCCUCUAAAAAAUGCCCCCGUGAGCUUACUUGUUAAAAGUUUCAAUCAGGAAGGAACUGGUACUUCAAAAGAAACAGACAAUCCAAAAAUUUUACAAAGUGGUCAAGCAUUUACCAACAAAAUUGAGCUGAAAAAUGUACAAGUGUCAGAGAAAAUCAGUUGCUGCCCUACCAGCCCGAAACUUAAAGAUUCUGAAAACCCGUAUGUCAAUGAAAGUUCAUUGAAAAGUACUCAUGUGGAUGUUUGCAAUGCAGGCGACAGAAAUCAGUCAGAGAGCAGAGACCAACACGAAGCACUGAAUUGUUUUGGAGGAAACAUUGAAUGCCCAUUGACUCUACAAGACAAAGAAAAAUCCAGAGAAAUUAUGAGAGAAAGUCAGAGAGAAAUAAUAAGCAAUCAAGCAUUUGAAUUAAUACCAAUUUCUGAUCAAAAGGUGCUCAGCGAAGACAAUAAUAAUCUAAAAGCUACGGCAGACUUGGAGUUGCAAGAGCAAAGUGAUAAGAAAAUUGAAUCAGUUGAAGAACCUGAUAAUCUUUCCAGAAAAGUUUGCGUAGAUAUGGUGAAAACAAAAGCGAUCGAUUUUGUUGAAACCUCCUUUACUGAAAAAACCUAUGACGAUGAUCACUUACAGACAUUUAAAAAUGAGGAGUAUUUUAGUUCUAUCGAUAAAAAUGAGGAACUUUGUCGUGAUACAAUGCUUGGAGGACUAGACCUGGAUAAGGGGGAACUCAAGAACGUAAAUCAGGAGAAAGGGGGUGACGAUAUGCAAAAUAUUCGCGACCGAAAAGGAGAUUUACAUUUUGAUAAAACAACAAAGACAGAUGGAGAUAAAUCAUCAGAUGAACUCAGCUCUGAUGAUGACUUGGAUGACAUAGUUUCAAAAGCAAUUGAUAAAUAUAUGAACGAAGAGGUAUUAGCGAAAGGACGGGAUGAGAUUCUGGCACAAGAAAAAAUUGGGUCAUCACAAGAGACAAUAAUUUUUUCUCCACAAAAGCCGAAACCUAAGAGAUCAGUGGCAAAAAAACAGCACUCAAAACACUCACAAAAAAAGACACAACAGAAUAAAUAUAAAAAACUACAGCCAGAACGCUUUUUCCAGCAGGAAAAUUACAAACCAAAGACAUGCAACCAAUCAAAGAUUGAUGAAAUUAACGGGAUAAUUGAUAUUACAGAGGAAUCAGAGACAGUAAGUAGAAGCGAGAAAUCAACUGCUGUUUCAUUUGAGAACGACAGCGAAUUAGGAUAUGAUUCUGACAGAACCAUCAUAAUAGAGCCAAUCACGUGUAAUUCCACUGUUCCAGAUCAGAAUUUUAACUGUUUCUUUCAAAAAGGAGAAAACAAUCCCAGAGAUAAAAGAGUUACAGUGGAAAAUAUGCAACGAAAUAUUGACACGGAAAACCAAAAAGACACCUUGGCCGAUUUUCAUAUGCAUAAGACAGAGACUUUAUUCCAAAGAGGAAAUGAAAUGGUUAAAAACUCGGAAAAAGAUUUUUCGAUGAGUGACAAAAUAUCAUGUAAAGCAGGAUACUUGAAUUCCAAUGAUUAUCUUGAAGAAACAAGUCUCAGAGCUAUGGAUAAACAUACAACGGAAAACUGUUUCAAAACACAUAAUUAUAUUUCUGACUUCCAGCAUAACAAUGAAGCUGAUUUAUUUUUACAAGUUGAAGAAAGCAAUCUUUCUUCUGAAGCAUCAAAGUCGAAAUCUCCUAAUGCUGAUAAGGAGAAAUUUAUUAAUGCAAAUUUAGAUCAAGCUUCUGGAAGCACACUAAGGGGCAAUCAGAAGUCAUUUUGCUUGACUGAUCAAGAGACAAAUCUGCUUGAUAAGAAUGGUUUCCAGUUUGACGAAGAAAAUUACAAAGGCUGUAAUCAGACAAGAGAGACAAAUUCUGAAGGACAUUCAAUCAUAGAUCAGUCAUUUCUAAAUAGUAAUGUGAAAGGAAACAUGGUACUACAGGUGAAUAAUAUGGAAACAGUUGAAAAACCAUAUUCAUCCAGAAAAAACUUGUCACGACUCAUGCCAGUUACAAUUGUUGGUAAACAAAACUUAACAAAUUCAGUGAGAGCCUUCCCUCAGCAAAAACAAACCGGAAAGACAACAGAGAAAAUAUUUCGUACUUUCAAUGAUUUAUGUGAAGAUGAGUGUCUGUUUGAGCGUUCCUCUUAUUCUCUACCGAACAAAAAAAGAGAACUUUUAAACAAUCAAAACUUUCUUUUAAAUGACACAUCAAGGACAAAAUUCAAUCAAGAGCUAUUGCAGGCUAAUCAAACAUAUGUAAAUAAUGACUCCAAUGCCUGCACAUCUGAGGCCGAGGUACCAAAGGCUGAAUACCAUCUUCUAAGUCCUCUACGAAGAAACAUUGGAAAAGUAGAAAAAACUCCAAGACAAAACAAAGGAAAAAUGAAAGAGAAAUUGCGACACUUGAAAGGGCUCAUGGAUCAGAGUAAAAUACAGAGGGAGAAGAAAAUAGAUGAUAUUCGAGAGCUGGUUUUUGAGACAAACAUCUACAUCUAUGAUCUGAUUGAUUCCCUAAAACCCUUGAGAAAUGGAUGA
This 2744-nucleotide long non-coding RNA is filed under the name Bemisia tabaci. RNAcentral describes it as "lncRNA ENSASIAIIG009551". The record is from RNAcentral. Lineage: Eukaryota; Metazoa; Arthropoda; Insecta; Hemiptera; Aleyrodidae.